UACAGAGACCUCAAGCGUUAUCCGGAUUUAUUGGGCGUAAAGCGCGUGUAGGCGGGCUUAUUAGUCAGAUGUCAAAUCUCCGAGCUCAGCUCGGAAACUGCAUUUGAAACGGUAAGUCUGGAGAGAGCGAGAGACCAAUGGAACGUAUGGUGUAGCAGUGAAAUGCGUUGAUAUCAUACGGAACACCAAAGGCGAAGGCAUUUGGUUGGCGCUCAUCUGACGCUGAGACGCGAAAGCGUGGGUAGCGAAUGGG
RNAcentral lists this ribosomal RNA (253 nucleotides) under uncultured bacterium. RNAcentral's name for it is "partial 16S ribosomal RNA". It matches the Rfam family "Bacterial small subunit ribosomal RNA", at positions 524 to 776 of the family's 1533-position model. The record is from RNAcentral.